This 253-nucleotide ribosomal RNA is filed under the name uncultured bacterium. RNAcentral's name for it is "partial 16S ribosomal RNA". It matches the Rfam family "Bacterial small subunit ribosomal RNA", at positions 524 to 776 of the family's 1533-position model. The record is from RNAcentral.
GACAGAGGCCACGAACGUUGUUCGGAAUCACUGGGCAUAAAGCGCACGUAGGCGGCUAGGUCCGUCCGAUGUGAAAGCCCCCGGCUCAACCGGGGAAUAGCAUCGGAUACAGCCUGGCUUGAGGACGGUUGGGGUGAGUGGAACUCCUGGUGGAGCGGUGAAAUGCGUAGAUAUCAGGAGGAACACCGGUGGCGAAAGCGGCUCACUGGACCGUUUCUGACGCUGAGGUGCGAAAGCUAGGGGAGCAAACGGG